UACGUAGGGUGCAAGCGUUAUCCGGAAUUAUUGGGCGUAAAGAGCUCGUAGGCGGUCUGUCGCGUCGAUCGUGAAAACUUGGGGCUUAACCCUGAGCUUGCGGUCGAUACGGGCAUGACUGGAGUUCGGCAGGGGAGACUGGAAUUCCUGGUGUAGCGGUGAAAUGCGCAGAUAUCAGGAGGAACACCGGUGGCGAAGGCGGGUCUCUGGGCCGAUACUGACGCUGAGGAGCGAAAGCGUGGGGAGCGAACAGG
Molecule: ribosomal RNA, 254 nt
Filed under: uncultured bacterium
Lineage: Bacteria
Description: partial 16S ribosomal RNA
Rfam family: Bacterial small subunit ribosomal RNA
Source: RNAcentral